GGGUCCGUGGUCUAGUUGGUUAUGACGCGGCCCUUACAAGGCCGAGAUCGGUGGUUCGACUCCGCCCGGACCCA
This 74-nucleotide transfer RNA is filed under the name Natronomonas aquatica. It matches the Rfam family "tRNA". Rfam says of the family: Transfer RNA (tRNA) molecules are approximately 80 nucleotides in length. Their secondary structure includes four short double-helical elements and three loops (D, anti-codon, and T loops). Further hydrogen bonds mediate the characteristic L-shaped molecular structure. tRNAs have two regions of fundamental functional importance: the anti-codon, which is responsible for specific mRNA codon recognition, and the 3' end, to which the tRNAs corresponding amino acid is attached (by aminoacyl-tRNA synthetases). tRNAs cope with the degeneracy of the genetic code in two manners: having more than one tRNA (with a specific anti-codon) for a particular amino acid; and 'wobble' base-pairing, i.e. permitting non-standard base-pairing at the 3rd anti-codon position. The record is from Rfam by way of RNAcentral. Lineage: Archaea; Methanobacteriati; Methanobacteriota; Halobacteria; Halobacteriales; Natronomonadaceae.